RNAcentral lists this ribosomal RNA (792 nucleotides) under Cora arachnoidea. Its description in RNAcentral is "eukaryotic LSU rRNA". The stretch from base 258 to 411 matches the Rfam family "5.8S ribosomal RNA". Lineage: Eukaryota; Fungi; Basidiomycota; Agaricomycetes; Agaricales; Hygrophoraceae. The record is from RNAcentral.
GGAAGUAAAAGUCGUAACAAGGUUUCCGUAGGUGAACCUGCGGAAGGAUCAUUAACGAACUCUCGAAGGAUGCGGUCGCUGCUGGGCUUCUCAGAAGUCAACGUGCACACGCUCUUUCCUCUCGUUCAACCAAUCUACCCCUAUCUGUGCACCCCUCGUAGGCUGAGAUCUCUUAGCUUAUGUUCUUUCCACAAAGCAUCCUAAUAUAUCAGCGAAUGGCAGCCGUUCGAGCCUCGUCUCGACGUAGCAAUAUACACAACUUUCAACAACGGAUCUCUUGGCUCUCGCAUCGAUGAAGAACGCAGCGAAAUGCGAUAAGUAAUGUGAAUUGCAGAAUUCAGUGAAUCAUCGAAUCUUUGAACGCACCUUGCGCCCCUUGGUACUCCGAGAGGCAUGCCUGUUUGAGUGUCAUUGAACCAUCAACCCGAGUGGCUUUCGAGCUUGUUCGGAGUUUGGAGCUUGCGGCGUGCGGGGAAGGCUCUCCUUGGGCCUCUCCGCUCCUCGCGGAAUACAUCAGCAGAUGUCCACUUGCGGUCCAGCCUUGGCGUGAUAACUGUCUACGUCCUGGCCUGGGUCGCGUUUCCCUGGCUCUGCUUCGAACGGUCGCCGUUCUGGCGACGGAUGGAUUGACAAAUUUGACCUCAAAUCAGGUAGGAUUACCCGCUGAACUUAAGCAUAUCAAUAAGCGGAGGAAAAGAAACUAACAAGGAUUCCCCUAGUAACUGCGAGUGAAGCGGGAAAAGCUCAAAUUUAGAAUCUGCCGGUCCCCCGCGGCCGGCCGAGUUGUAAUCU